RNAcentral lists this ribosomal RNA (253 nucleotides) under uncultured prokaryote. RNAcentral describes it as "partial 16S ribosomal RNA". It matches the Rfam family "Bacterial small subunit ribosomal RNA", at positions 525 to 777 of the family's 1533-position model. The record is from RNAcentral.
ACGAAGGGAGCUAGCGUUGUUCGGAAUCACUGGGCGUAAAGCGCACGUAGGCGGAUGUGUCAGUCAGGGGUGAAAUCCCGGAGCUCAACUUCGGAACUGCCCUUGAUACAGCACGUCUUGAGUCCGAGAGAGGUGGAUGGAAUUCCUAGUGUAGAGGUGAAAUUCGUAGAUAUUAGGAAGAACACCGGUGGCGAAGGCGGUCCACUGGCUCGGUACUGACGCUGAGGUGCGAAAGCGUGGGGAGCAAACAGGA